GACGGGAGAGACUAACAGGAUUCCCCUAGUAACUGCGAGUGAAGCGGGAAAAGCUCAAAUUUAAAAUCUGGCAGUCUCUGGCUGUCCGAGUUGUAAUCUAGAGAAGUAAUGCCCGUGCUGGACCGUGUAUAAGUCUCCUGGGAUGGGGCGUCAUAGAGGGUGAGAAUCCCGUCUUUGACACGGACUACCAGUGCAUUGUGGUAUGCUCUCAAAGAGUCGAGUUGUUUGGGAAUGCAGCUCAAAAUGGGUGGUAAAUUCCAUCUAAAGCUAAAUAUUGGCGAGAGACCGAUAGCGAACAAGUACCGUGAGGGAAAGAUGAAAAGAACUUUGGAAAGAGAGUUAAACAGUACGUGAAAUUGCUGAAAGGGAAACGCUUGAAGUCAGUCGCGUUGGCCGGGAAUCAGCCUUGCUUUUGCAUGGUGUACUUUCUGGUUGACGGGUCAGCAUCAAUUUUGACCRCUGGAAAAAGGCCUGGGGAAUGUGGCAGCUUCGGCUGUGUUAUAGCCCCUAGUCGCAUACAGUGGUUGGGAUUGAGGAACUCAGCACGCCGCAAGGCCGGGUUUCGACCACGUUCGUGCUUAGGAUGCUGGCAUAAUGGCUUUAAGCGACCCGUCUUGAAACACGGACCAAGGAGUCUAACAUGCCUGCGAGUAUUUGGGUGGAAAACCCAAGUGCGUAAUGAAAGUGAAAGUUGAGAUCCCUGUCGUGGGGAGCAUCGACGCCCGGACCAGAACUUUUGGGACGGAUCCGCGGUGGAGCAUGUAUGUUGGGACCCGAAAGAUGGUGAACUAUGCCUGAAUAGGGUGAAGCCAGAGGAAACUCUGGUGGAGGCUCGUAGCGAUUCUGACGUGCAAAUCGAUCGUCAAAUUUGGGUAUAGGGGCGAAAGACUAAUCGAACCAUCUGGGUGCCUC
RNAcentral lists this ribosomal RNA (912 nucleotides) under Agaricus sp. RNAcentral describes it as "LSU rRNA". It matches the Rfam family "Eukaryotic large subunit ribosomal RNA", at positions 53 to 961 of the family's 3401-position model. The record is from RNAcentral. Lineage: Eukaryota; Fungi; Basidiomycota; Agaricomycetes; Agaricales; Agaricaceae.